AGCGAACGCUGGCGGCAGGCUUAACACAUGCAAGUCGAACGCAUCCUUCGGGGUGAGUGGCGGACGGGUGAGUAACACGUGGGAACGUACCCUUCGAUCUGGGAUAACUUCGGGAAACUGGAGCUAAUACCGGAUACGCCCUUUUGGGGAAAGGUUUACUGUCGAAGUAUCGGUCCGCGUCUGAUUAGCUAGUUGGUGGGGUAACGGCCUACCAAGGCGACGAUCAGUAGCUGGUCUGAGAGGAUGAUCAGCCACACUGGGACUGAGACACGGCCCAGACUCCUACGGGAGGCAGCAGUGGGGAAUAUUGGACAAUGGGCGCAAGCCUGAUCCAGCCAUGCCGCGUGAGUGAUGAAGGCCUUAGGGUUGUAAAGCUCUUUUGUCCGGGACGAUAAUGACGGUACCGGAAGAAUAAGCCCCGGCUAACUUCGUG
This 433-nucleotide ribosomal RNA is filed under the name uncultured bacterium. Its description in RNAcentral is "partial 16S ribosomal RNA". It matches the Rfam family "Bacterial small subunit ribosomal RNA", at positions 29 to 507 of the family's 1533-position model. The record is from RNAcentral.